UGCUUCUUCUCACUAGAUAAUGCUGCUUAUCUGCAAGCCAGUGUCACACACACAGCACCUCACUCCAGCACCUCAGUCUGUAUCCAGUGCUUAGUAAAGCACCAGGCACAGCCUGCACAGCCCUUCUGUGUCACAGCGACGUGGUGUAACGCCCACGGACCCCAUCACACAACUAGCACCCAAGUUUUCUUCAGCCAUGAAGAGCCACAACAGCUACUGGCCACGACACCUGCAAAGCAGAAGACAGAGAGGGGUCCAGCCCUUGUCACCUGCACUAGGAAAGGAGAAGACCACCAGUGUAGACCUGCUGUGGAGGUGGUGCAGCAAGCCAUAUGGGUUAUUUCCAGCAAAGAUGAGGAGCAUCACAAAGGCCUGCUUCAACAGGAUACCUGCACAAAACCCAGUUCCAGUAUUCCUACACUGAGAAAGAGAAGACAUUUUUUAAAUAAACCAUUGCACUGGGAUAUGACAGGUUUGGGUGACUUGGGAAAUCAGUGUGGCUAUCAUUAG
Molecule: long non-coding RNA, 510 nt
Filed under: Anas platyrhynchos (mallard)
Lineage: Eukaryota; Metazoa; Chordata; Aves; Anseriformes; Anatidae
Description: lncRNA (ENSAPLG00020004751.1)
Source: RNAcentral